This 250-nucleotide ribosomal RNA is filed under the name uncultured bacterium. RNAcentral describes it as "partial 16S ribosomal RNA". It matches the Rfam family "Bacterial small subunit ribosomal RNA", at positions 779 to 1029 of the family's 1533-position model. The record is from RNAcentral.
UAGAUACCCUGGUAGUCCACGCCGUAAACGAUGAUAACUAGCUGUCCGGGUUCAUGGAAUUUGGGUGGCGCAGCUAACGCAUUAAGUUAUCCGCCUGGGGAGUACGGUCGCAAGAUUAAAACUCAAAGGAAUUGACGGGGGCCUGCACAAGCGGUGGAGCAUGUGGUUUAAUUCGAAGCAACGCGCAGAACCUUACCAGCGUUUGACAUCCCGCGCUAUGACCAGAGAUGGUCAGUUCCUUCGGGGACGC